UACGUGGGGGGCAAGCGUUGUUCGGAAUUACUGGGCGUAAAGGGCUCGUAGGCGGCCAACUAAGUCAGACGUGAAAUCCCUCGGCUUAACCGGGGAACUGCGUCUGAUACUGGUUGGCUUGAAUCCGGGAGAGGGAUGUGGAAUUCCAGGUGUAGCGGUGAAAUGCGUAGAUAUCUGGAGGAACACCGGUGGCGAAGGCGGCAUCCUGGACCGGUAUUGACGCUGAGGAGCGAAAGCCAGGGGAGCAAACGGG
RNAcentral lists this ribosomal RNA (253 nucleotides) under uncultured bacterium. Its description in RNAcentral is "partial 16S ribosomal RNA". It matches the Rfam family "Bacterial small subunit ribosomal RNA", at positions 524 to 776 of the family's 1533-position model. The record is from RNAcentral.